Molecule: ribosomal RNA, 109 nt
Filed under: Carlito syrichta (Philippine tarsier)
Lineage: Eukaryota; Metazoa; Chordata; Mammalia; Primates; Tarsiidae
Source: RNAcentral
AUCCAUGGCCGUACCACCCCUAAUAUGCCUGAUUUCAGAAGCUAAGCAGGGCUUGACUUGGUUAGUAUUCAGAUGGGAGACAGUCUGGAAAUACAAAGUGCUGUGGAUU